UGGGGAAUAUUGGACAAUGGGCGCAAGCCUGAUCCAGCCAUGCCGCGUGAGUGAUGAAGGCCUUAGGGUUGUAAAGCUCUUUUGUCCGGGAAGAUAAUGACUGUACCGGAAGAAUAAGCCCCGGCUAACUUCGUGCCAGCAGCCGCGGUAAUACGAAGGGGGCUAGCGUUGCUCGGAAUCACUGGGCGUAAAGGGCGCGUAGGCGGAGUUUUAAGUCGGGGGUGAAAGCCCAGGGCUCAACCCUGGAAUUGCCUUCGAUACUGGGAGUCUUGAGUUCGGAAGAGGUUGGUGGAACUGCGAGUGUAGAGGUGAAAUUCGUAGAUAUUCGCAAGAACACCGGUGGCGAAGGCGGCCAACUGGUCCGAAACUGACGCUGAGGCGCGAAAGCGUGGGGAGCAAACAGG
Molecule: ribosomal RNA, 404 nt
Filed under: Actinomycetes bacterium
Lineage: Bacteria; Bacillati; Actinomycetota; Actinomycetes
Description: Actinobacteria bacterium partial 16S ribosomal RNA
Rfam family: Bacterial small subunit ribosomal RNA
Source: RNAcentral